CAAGCGUCGGGACCACUUCCCACCCUGCGGACGAGCUCGGAGAGGCAUGGAGGAGGAGCAGGAGCAGGAAGAGGAGGCAGCAUGGACGAGUCCAGCAUCUUGAGGCGCCGAGGGCUGCAGAUUCUCCCAAUCCAAGUCCACAAUAGCCCCCUUGCUGCUAUUCAGAAGCCCCCGGACCACAGAAAGGAGCUGCUGGCCCCUAUUUAACCCUAAAGUCAACUGGUGUUGAAGAGAGAGAAGGAGCUGAGCCUGCCACGCCGAGGGAAGAUGUG
Non-coding RNA from Thamnophis sirtalis, 272 nucleotides. The record is from RefSeq and is a predicted model, not a curated record. Lineage: Eukaryota; Metazoa; Chordata; Lepidosauria; Squamata; Natricidae.